Molecule: non-coding RNA, 30 nt
Filed under: Mus musculus (house mouse)
Lineage: Eukaryota; Metazoa; Chordata; Mammalia; Rodentia; Muridae
Source: RNAcentral
UCGCCAUGUCUUCUCUUCUUCAGGACUCUC